UUGGGUUCAGGUUACUUACAGGAUCGCCUUCUCCCAUACAAUCUGCUCCAAACACUUAGGGCAUCUGGGGGCCAGUUACUCCAGCCUGCCAGAACCUGACUGGUGACCGUCAUCCACAGGACCUUUUCAUCAGUUGUCCCAUGACUCUGGAAUGACCAGCUGGAAGAGCCCCAACAGCUAGAUCAGCUGUCGGAAUUUAAAAACGACUUAAAGAGCUAUUUCUUCUGGAAAUCCAUACGUAAAAGAAGCUCUUCUGCCAUCCUGAUGGAUCCAAACUUCCUAGAAAAAAAUGACAUAAAAGACUUACUUUUAGAAGGAGAAGAAAGCAAUCUCUGCAGAGACUUGCUGAAAUGGAAAUCCAGCCAUGAAUCUGAGCAGGUUCUGGGAAGAAAGGUGUCCUCCUCCUAAGAAAUGUCAAAUCCAUUGAAUGAGGACAGUCUACUGAAACAACCACAACAUAUCACUUCUGCUUCACUGCAUCAUGAUCUGCUGGAAAACAUAAUCAAGAUAUGGCAUGGGACAUUUUUUGUUGUCUCAAUGCAUUACAUUGGCUAGGACAAAAAAAUUAAUAGAUCUGAUGGAAUAUUUUUGACACAUUCAGUUGUCUUGUUGUUUAUUGGGUGGAGGUGGUACAUGACACAUGGGCAACAUUUGCAGAUAUUGUUUACUACUGUGCAAGUGGCAAAUACCAUAAAAUAAUUGAAAGGUCCAUAUUUAUGAAUAUUUUCAGCAAUAUAAUGCUUGAGUAAUGACAAUGUUCUUAUUACAAUGCAUGUAUUUUUUCACAAUUUUACAUCUACUUAGUAAAAAGACUGAUCAUAAUAAUAUAUAUGCAUAAUGUAUAUUGAUACCAAUUGGCCUCUUUAAAGUGUAUACUUUCAAAACGCUAAGCUAUUGUCUUAAAAGACAAAGUAAUUUAGGGCAAGUCUACAAGGAAAGGAAAUCCUGAUGCACCUCAAAGUUCCUUUUGUCUGUUCCCACAAUACUCACUAUUUACAGGGUUAAACUAUUUUAGCCAAAGUGAGAUUAUACUCCAAAGUUCACUGGAAACUCUAACCCAGGGGUCCUCAAACUU
Molecule: long non-coding RNA, 1075 nt
Filed under: Anolis carolinensis (green anole)
Lineage: Eukaryota; Metazoa; Chordata; Lepidosauria; Squamata; Anolidae
Description: lncRNA (ENSACAG00000041411.1)
Source: RNAcentral